This 465-nucleotide ribosomal RNA is filed under the name uncultured bacterium. Its description in RNAcentral is "partial 16S ribosomal RNA". It matches the Rfam family "Bacterial small subunit ribosomal RNA", at positions 28 to 507 of the family's 1533-position model. The record is from RNAcentral.
GACGAACGCUGGCGGCGUGCUUAACACAUGCAAGUCGUACGGUAAGGCCCUUUCGGGGGUACACGAGUGGCGAACGGGUGAGUAACACGUGAGUAACCUGCCCACAACUUUGGGAUAACGCUAGGAAACUGGUGCUAAUACUGGAUAUGUGCUCCUGCUGCAUGGUGGGGGUUGGAAAGCUCCGGCGGUUGUGGAUGGACUCGCGGCCUAUCAGCUUGUUGGUGGGGUAGUGGCCUACCAAGGCGGCGACGGGUAGCCGGCCUGAGAGGGUGACCAGCCACAUUGGGACUGAGAUACGGCCCAGACUCCUACGGGAGGCAGCAGUGGGGAAUAUUGCACAAUGGGCGCAAGCCUGAUGCAGCAACGCCGCGUGCGGGAUGACGGCCUUCGGGUUGUAAACCGCUUUCAGCAGGGACGAAGCUUUUUGUGACGGUACCUGCAGAAGAAGCACCGGCUAACUACGUG